Molecule: ribosomal RNA, 353 nt
Filed under: uncultured Spirotrichea
Lineage: Eukaryota; Ciliophora; Spirotrichea
Description: SSU rRNA
Rfam family: Eukaryotic small subunit ribosomal RNA
Source: RNAcentral
UAAUUCUAGAGCUAAUACAUGCACACGCACGCCCUACUUUUGCGGACUGGGCGGUAUUUAUUAGAUAACAGACCAAUAUUCCUCGUGUCUAUUGUGGUGAAUCAUAGUAACUGAUCGGAUCGCAUGGGCUGGUCCCGCGACAAACCAUUCAAGUUUCUGCCCCAUCAGCUUGCUGGUAGUGUAUUGGACUACCAUGGCUUUUACGGGUAACGGAGGAUUAGGGUUCGAUUCCGGAGAGGGAGCCUGAGAAACGGCUACCACAUCUAAGGAAGGCAGCAGGCGCGUAAAUUACCCAAUACUAAUUCAGUGAGGUAGUGACAAGAAAUAACAGACCAGGGUUCUACCCUGGGACU